AGCGAACGCUGGCGGCAGGCUUAACACAUGCAAGUCGAGCGGGCACUUUCGGGUGUCAGCGGCGGACGGGUGAGUAACGCGUGGGAACGUGCCCUCUGGUUCGGAAUAACUCAGGGAAACUUGAGCUAAUACCGGAUACGCCCUUUUGGGGAAAGGCUUGCUGCCGGAGGAUCGGCCCGCGUCUGAUUAGCUAGUUGGUGAGGUAACGGCUCACCAAGGCGACGAUCAGUAGCUGGUCUGAGAGGAUGAUCAGCCACACUGGGACUGAGACACGGCCCAGACUCCUACGGGAGGCAGGAGUGGGGAAUAUUGGACAAUGGGCGCAAGCCUGAUCCAGCCAUGCCGCGUGAGUGAUGAAGGCCUUAGGGUUGUAAAGCUCUUUUAUCCGGGACGAUAAUGACGGUACCGGAGGAAUAAGCCCCGGCUAACUUCGUG
This 435-nucleotide ribosomal RNA is filed under the name uncultured bacterium. RNAcentral's name for it is "partial 16S ribosomal RNA". It matches the Rfam family "Bacterial small subunit ribosomal RNA", at positions 29 to 507 of the family's 1533-position model. The record is from RNAcentral.